Molecule: unclassified non-coding RNA, 238 nt
Filed under: Hevea brasiliensis (rubber tree)
Lineage: Eukaryota; Viridiplantae; Streptophyta; Magnoliopsida; Malpighiales; Euphorbiaceae
Source: RNAcentral
UGGAGUUGAACUUUUAUUUUCCUAUAAAAGGACAGAACUUUUAUUUUCCUAUAAAAGGACAGUAUUUUAUUUUGAAGGAAGAUUAAACACAAUUGAAAACUUCAAUUACUUGCCAAAAACUAAUUAGUGAAUAAAGCAGAGCAAAACAGAACAUUCAGUUUUAGAAAAAACAGAAUAGGUCAUGACUUGAUAUGCAUAAUUGAGGAAAAAUGUACCUACAGAUGAGUUCAAGGGACUA